Long non-coding RNA from Helianthus annuus (common sunflower), 1271 nucleotides. RefSeq lists it as uncharacterized. The transcript is spliced from 2 exons. Lineage: Eukaryota; Viridiplantae; Streptophyta; Magnoliopsida; Asterales; Asteraceae. The record is from RefSeq and is a predicted model, not a curated record.
UAUGCGCAUAUAAUGUAUAUAUGUGUGGGCGCUUGGGGGGCAAAAGUGAAAGUGCACUAAUUUUAACGUUAUUUUACUAAUUUCGUGAAAAUAGUAUUAAAAGAGGGGGAUGGUUGAUCAUGCAUCAUAUGGUGACGUUGACAGCCGAAAGACAAGGAGUACAUGCGCUAAUUGGUCUUUAUCUUAAUUGCCGAGUGUUGUGUACCUAAUGUGUAUAACUUAUCUUGAUUGGUUAACUAGGAUUUAAACUAUGAAAACGAGGCUACAAAUAUUUUUUGGGUCGAAAUGGGGAAAUAACAUUUUAGCUGAAUUUUUCAGCUUCAGUCCGAAUUUUAGACUUUUUUUUUUUUGCAAAAAUCAUAUAAAAUCAACCAUCUAUCCGAUCGAGGUUUUUAUAUACUUUCGGAAAGCUUGACGAGUCUGGUUUCUACAGAUUUGUAGAACAAUAAUCAAUACGAUCAGUAGAUGUGUGAAAAAUAUGAAUAUGUAGUAGCUGUACAGGUUGUAAUAAAACAUAAUAUCCAUGUUUGGCAAAAAUCUUAUAAAAACUCAUACGAGUGUCCGCUUGAGGGUUUUGUACAUUCUUGGAAACUUUUUUUGGUCUACUUUUAAAGUUUCAAAACGUUAAAUAUUGUAGCUACGGAGAAAUUUAUGAUGAUAUAGCACUAACGGGUCAAUAAACCUUGUAUGCUGUUUAUCAUUUAAAACAGAGACGGUUAUAGACUAAUGGCAGGUAGACGAGCAACAAGUUGCUUGCACAAGUAUUAUAUCUUGAAUGAAUAUCAUGAAGGAAGAUACAGGUAUAUGUAAUUCAAUGGACCCAUUUAUAGUAAGGUGAUUUACAUUGGAAUUGUUUGACUUCAAGAAGGGGGUCAACGGUCCGGCAAGAAAGUCCAACGUCAAAUCAAUCCUACGGACGAAGGUAAAAUUUCAUAUAAGAUGCUGGACGACGAUUAAGUGCUCGGGGACCACUCACCUUGAAGUCGGAUUACGUUCCCAUGUAUGUGUGUCAAGGAAUAAUUUGGUUAUUUGAUGGUUUUAAACUAAAUUAUAAGGUGUCUAUAAGGGUUAUAUUGAUAUUUAACUCUUGACACCAAAUCUUGAUGGUUUUAAACUAAAUUAUAAGGUGUCUAUAAGGGUUAUAUUGAUAUUUAACUUUUACCACCAAAUCUUAUAAUGUUAAUAAGAUAAGAAAGGGUUGUAAGAUAAGAAAAAAAUCUGGACCUACUUUUUCUAGAUUUAAAUAUAAUGUCACCAAGAGCUCAUAUCAA